Hevea brasiliensis (rubber tree) is the source of this 1080-nucleotide long non-coding RNA. RefSeq lists it as uncharacterized. The record is from RefSeq and is a predicted model, not a curated record. The transcript has 2 exons. NCBI's taxonomy places the organism in Eukaryota, Viridiplantae, Streptophyta, Magnoliopsida, Malpighiales, Euphorbiaceae.
UUCAAAUUCAUGUUACAAUAGGUCAAUCCAUAGCAAUGCUAGGGUUGGUGCAUGUCUAAAAUACUGAAACUGCUUCUGUUUUGAUAUGUGCUUAAUGAUGUUUAGAUAUAUUGGUUAAAUAGAUUUUAUACUAAGACUAGUUUGCUGUGGACAAUGGCGUUUCUAAGUACAGUUAUUAAUUAAGAGACAGGAACAAUUCAUAAUGUGCAUUUUAAGUAAUCACUUGGAGAAGUCCUCAUAGGCUCCUUUAUUCCUUUCUUGCCUACAAUGAAGUCCCAUCUUUCUUUUGAAAACUGUUAAUUUAUUGAAAUGGACCUAUGCACACAAAUGGCUACCUUCCGAAUUCCAUCAUAUCAUAAAUCAAAUACAACAACUCUUUCUUUUUGAUAAAUCAAUCCUUGGAUUUCAAUGCUUCUAAGCAGUUAUGAUAUAGGUUGUUCCUUCCUGAAAUAUGUUUUUGCUCGAGUUGUGUUUCUCUGACUUUGUAGUGAGGCUGUCUUGAUGACCAAUGACUUGAUAUUUUUGACUUAUAAUUUGUUGGCUUAUACUUUGUAGCUCCAAGAUACCAAAAUAACAACUGGAGAAACAGAGGUGAAAUUCCAGGUUUCUAGAGAUACACUGGCUUCCAUGUUGAGAUCAAUGGCAUAUAUCCGUGAGCAAUUAUGACACCAGUUUUGCUGAGCACUUCAUUCUAAUGAUGAAUCAUGUAAGCAAAGGGUAUAGUGAGUGAGAAUUUCUUUUGGCAAGGUGAGCUUAAAUCGGCUUCACAAAGCUGGCAGCAUUAGAGGCACCAAGGGCGUAAUCCCUUUCAGUUGAUACACCAUUGUGUAUUAUACAAAUGUUACGUUGACAUAGUUUGGAUGUAGAUGUAGUUAGGUAUGGGAUUUCUAUUUUAUUGAGCGAACUUGGUUUAGCUGAGUCUAUUCUUAUCUCUAACUUCUAGAUAGUGCAAGAUUCGCUUUACCUAUGUGCUGGAAAAUCUAUUUGUACAUGUAAGUUUCCAACACAUAUUUACUGAUUGAGCAUUGCAUAUAUGUUGUAUUUAAACUUGGAACAUAGUGCCUCUUUCUAUGUUUUGAA